AUUGGCUUGUCGCGGUGAAUCAUCAUUUGAUUUGCUGAGGAAAGUCCGGGCAACAAAGAGCAGCAUACUUCCUAACGGGAAGGGACUGAUUUUGCAGUAAUGCAGUUCGGUUACAGAUAGUGCCACAGAAAACAAACUGCCGAUGUCGAUGUUUUUCGGCAGGCGAUGGUGAAAAGGUGAGGUAAGAGCUCACCAGUGCAGCUGGCAACAGUUGUAGCUAGGUAAACCUUAUGCGUUGAAAGACCAAAUAAACCAGGGAUUGAAGGUUGCUCGCCUGAUCCUGGAGGGUAGGUUGCUUGAGGCCAAUAGUGAUGUUGGUCCUAGAUAAAUGACAAGCGUCCAUAAGGACACAGAACCCGGCUUAUAGAUU
RNAcentral lists this RNase P RNA (370 nucleotides) under marine eukaryotic metagenome. Its description in RNAcentral is "Bacterial RNase P class A". It matches the Rfam family "Bacterial RNase P class A". Rfam says of the family: Ribonuclease P (RNase P) is a ubiquitous endoribonuclease, found in archaea, bacteria and eukarya as well as chloroplasts and mitochondria. The record is from RNAcentral.